RNAcentral lists this ribosomal RNA (253 nucleotides) under uncultured bacterium. RNAcentral describes it as "partial 16S ribosomal RNA". It matches the Rfam family "Bacterial small subunit ribosomal RNA", at positions 524 to 776 of the family's 1533-position model. The record is from RNAcentral.
UACGAAGGGGCUAGCGUUGUUCGGAAUUACUGGGCGUAAAGGGCGCGUAGGCGGCGUGUCAAGUCAGGCGUGAAAGCCCCGGGCUCAACCUGGGAACCGCGCUUGAGACUGGCAUGCUCGAGUUCGGGAGAGGAUGGUGGAAAUUCCCAGUGUAGAGGUGAAAUUCGUAGAUAUUGGGAAGAACACCGAUGGCGAAGGCAGCCAUCUGGACCGACACUGACGCUGAGGCGCGAAAGCGUGGGGAGCAACAGGG